Pieris rapae (cabbage white) is the source of this 310-nucleotide long non-coding RNA. RefSeq lists it as uncharacterized. The transcript is spliced from 3 exons. The record is from RefSeq and is a predicted model, not a curated record. NCBI's taxonomy places the organism in Eukaryota, Metazoa, Arthropoda, Insecta, Lepidoptera, Pieridae.
UCUAAAUAUGGGAGUAUUGCCGACAGAUGAAACAAAGAACGUUUAUUUUGCGUCCUUUGAAAAAAAAAAGUGGAUUUUUAUUGAACGCUGCUUCUUUGCUGCACUAGCUUUUAUUAUUUCCCGUACGGUAUUAUAUGCAUUCGAAUACAUACUUGUUGAAACCAAUGCAGUAAACCAAGCCAUGAAUAUGAUCUCAACAUUCUACGUUCUGCACAGUAUCUUUUUAUUACUCGACUUUAUGUUUUUUUUCAUCUUUGCCGCAGUAAAUAAUGCCAGGGAAAAACCAGAAAAUAUGCUACUUGGAACAUUU